UAACACCGGACACAUAUCCAAGGGUAACUCCGGACACAUAUCCAAGGGUAACUGAAAACAAACCAUGCCUGGGUGCCCCGUGCACGAGUAGCCUUCGUGACGCACACACACCCCCGGCGGUAAAAUCACCACAUUAGCGUCUCGGUUACAGAGAUGUGGACACGUGAAGGUAAACACCUUACAUGAGGUUGUGACACAGUUACGUCCACAUGUGGCAGCCAUCGUGGGCUGCCGCGUCAUUCACCGCCACCUGACGAGGACCCCACUGUGGGAGGAGAGUGGUGAUUGGUGGUUGUCAAGACGGAGCAGGGAUCAGUAGCUGCCCCUGGCUGCCUCUCCCCAAGAGCGACGGAUAGGGACCGGACGGAGCCAGGGACGAUAGGGACGAGGACGGACGGGACAACUUACCGCUUCUCCAAGUGAACAGGUGGAAUUUGAGGGUCGUUGCCGGGGCCCCUGCGCAAACCAGACUUUACAUCUCGCUGUUAUUUGUUCUGCCUCCGGUGAAACGUUCUUCUUGGGGUGUUAUGUCGGGCGGCGCCGUGUGUGUGUGUGUGUAUUCUGUUCUUCUGUGAUGUCGUGGCUUGUAAUUCUUUUUUGUUGUUCUUAAAUGUGGUUUCGGUAAGGGGUUGUUGGUAACUGUUGCCUGUUCCUCCCCCUCUCCUCCCCCCCGACGAGGCUCAGUGGUGCCAACCUGCCCGAUUCAUCGAUUCUCUUGUCGAUGUAGUUGGUAGCCUUGCUCUACCCCCCACCCACCCCCCUCUCCACCAUCCCUCCUCCCCCCCUCUCCCCCCCCACACAUCACUCACUAAACAUAUAUAUAUAAUAUAAAAGAACUACCAACUUUACACGGGCUCACCAUAGCCGGUGCUACAUGGACCCUUCGUUCUGAGUAGCUAAAUCUGAAACAACAUACAACAAUUACCACUUUUAUAAACAGGUUGUUAAGAUUUGGAGUACAUAAAUGAUCAAUUAAAAAGGAGUACUAUGAAAUUUUAAGAGUACAUCUCACACAUAAAAUGUAUCACAUAAACCUAAAUAAUCAAACUCGACUUUUCACACAGCUUGGCUGAUUAGAUAUGUAUGUGUAUGUA
Procambarus clarkii (red swamp crayfish) is the source of this 1094-nucleotide long non-coding RNA. RefSeq lists it as uncharacterized. Lineage: Eukaryota; Metazoa; Arthropoda; Malacostraca; Decapoda; Cambaridae. The record is from RefSeq and is a predicted model, not a curated record.